This 102-nucleotide ribosomal RNA is filed under the name uncultured eukaryote. Its description in RNAcentral is "partial small subunit ribosomal RNA". It matches the Rfam family "Eukaryotic small subunit ribosomal RNA", at positions 1676 to 1785 of the family's 1831-position model. The record is from RNAcentral.
UCGCUCCUACCGAUUUGAGUGGUCCGGUGAAUCUUUUGGACUGUGCACGGCUUCGUGCCGUUCGCGGAAAGUCAGGUAAACCUUAUCACUUAGAGGAAGGAG